RNA transcript from Manis pentadactyla (Chinese pangolin), 2857 nucleotides. It is a transcript of the gene named integrator complex subunit 14, with no coding region annotated. NCBI's taxonomy places the organism in Eukaryota, Metazoa, Chordata, Mammalia, Pholidota, Manidae. The transcript has 15 exons. The record is from RefSeq and is a predicted model, not a curated record.
GUCCGAAAGCCCCGCCCAGGGCGCAGUCCCGGCGCCCGGUUCCCUUUUGUCUCACGGCCGGGAAGGUUCCGGCCUCGGUUCGCGGACGGAAAGCUUAUGCGGACGGACUGUGCUGGUGAUGGGCGCGGAGUCCAGGCACACCUGAGUUGCAGUCCAAAUGCAGCAGUUCGUUAUUUCCGGGCUGGCGGUUUAGCGAUGAGGCUGUGCCUGGGAACUGGGAAGGGACGCACCAGGGCGAGGGACGUCAGGGCGACGGGGAGACCCGAGGAGGGCAUCAUGCAACAGGGUAAUAAACACUUGCACAGACACUCUUGGGUAGAUGAAGAUAGCCACCCAAGAAGAAGGGUUGAUCAGCAGAAAGCACUACCAUAUGGCAACUAUGAGUUCUUCAGUAAAUUUCUCAAGAGCCUCUUUUACAUUUCUCCACUUACAGUUGUCUGUCUGCAUUCUGCCUGGGAACACUAGGAUCAUUUUCAUCAUGCCCACAGUGGUGGUAAUGGACGUGUCCCUUUCCAUGACCCGGCCUGUGUCCAUCGAGGGGUCUGAGGAAUAUCAGCGCAAGCACCUGGCAGCCCAUGGUUUGACGAUGCUGUUUGAGCACAUGGCCACAAAUUACAAGCUUGAGUUUACAGCCCUCGUGGUUUUUUCAUCACUCUGGGAACUGAUGGUUCCCUUCACAAGAGAUUAUAACACGCUACAGGAAGCACUAAGUAAUAUGGAUGAUUAUGAUAAAACGUGCUUGGAAUCUGCAUUGGUUGGUGUUUGCAAUAUUGUUCAGCAAGAAUGGGGUGGUGCAAUUCCUUGCCAGGUUGUUCUGGUGACGGAUGGUUGUCUUGGCAUUGGUAGAGGGUCUCUACGGCAUUCCCUAGCUACUCACAGUCAACGAAGUGAGAGCAACAGGUUUCCACUACCUUUUCCUUUCCCAUCUAAGUUAUACAUCAUGUGCAUGGCAAAUUUGGAGGAGCUUCAGAGCACUGAUUCCUUGGAUUGCCUUGAACGUCUCAUAGAUCUAAACAAUGGUGAAGGGCAGAUUUUUACUAUUGAUGGACCCCUGUGCUUGAAAAAUGUACAGUCUAUGUUUGGAAAACUGAUCGAUCUGGCAUAUACUCCUUUCCAUGCUGUUCUCAAGUGUGGCCACCUCACUGCUGAUGUGCAAGUCUUCCCCAGGCCAGAACCUUUCGUUGUAGAUGAGGAAAUCGAUCCUGUCCCUAAAGUCAUUAACACAGAUUUGGAAAUAGUGGGAUUUGUCGACAUAGCUGAUAUUUCAAGUCCCCCAGUUCUCUCCAGACAUCUGGUCCUACCUAUAGCACUUAACAAAGAAGGUGACGAGGUGGGUACUGGCAUAACUGAUGACAAUGAAGAUGAAAACUCAGCCAAUCAGAUCGCAGGCAAAAUACCCAACUUCUGUGUCCUGCUCCAUGGCAGCCUAAAAGUGGAAGGAAUGGUGGCAAUAGUUCAAUUAGGUCCUGAAUGGCAUGGGAUGCUCUACUCCCAAGCUGACAGCAAGAAGAAAUCAAACCUCAUGAUGUCUCUCUUUGAGCCUGGCCCAGAACCCCUGCCAUGGCUAGGGAAGAUGGCACAGCUGGGGCCUAUUUCAGAUGCUAAAGAAAACCCUUACGGUGAGGAUGACAAUAAGAGCCCCUUCCCCCUGCAGCCCAAAAACAAACGCAGUUACGCUCAGAAUGUGACUGUCUGGAUCAAACCCAGUGGCCUGCAGACAGAUGUACAGAAGAUUUUAAGAAAUGCAAGGAAACUACCUGAAAAAACACAGACAUUCUAUAAGGAGCUGAACCGCUUACGAAAGGCUGCCCUGGCCUUUGGUUUCCUGGACCUGCUCAAAGGGGUAGCUGACAUGCUGGAAAGGGAGUGCACGUUGCUGCCCGACACAGCCCACCCCGAUGCUGCAUUUCAGCUGACCCACGCCGCCCAGCAGCUCAAGCUGGCCAGCACUGGCACCUCCGAGUACGCCGGGUAUGACCACAACAUUACACCUCUGCACACGGACUUCUCUGGGAGCAGCACGGAAAGAAUGUGAAGCUGACCUCAGGAGCCUGCCUUCUUUUUUCAUUGCAAGUGAAAUGAUUUGGGAUAAAAACUGCCAGUCUGUUCACCUCUGCAAUAGCCACCCAAAGUCCUCCGUGAGGCUGCCUCAGAAGCACCCCUUGCUGGUUUGAAUGACUUUGCUAGAAUCUGAGGAUUCUGAAGGGUGGUCAGCUGCUUGGGCUUUGACUUUAGCUUUCUGGGGCUCAGUCUUUAAGCCCAAAAGACAACCGUUGCUCCCAUGAACACAUCUCCUAGAAGCUUGAAGGACUGAUGAGCACAGUCUUCCCCACUUCCUCAGGAAACACAACCAGCAGCAAUUCUCUGGCUUCUGACAGGCAUCUUCUCUUCUCUCCUCUCUCAACCAUAAGGACAUUUUCAAGCUUCUGUCCUUGGAAUGAGAAGCCCAGACUGUCUAGGACUUGAAAUAAGCCUCCAAGCCGACAACAGAAAGAUGACUGAGGAACGGUCAUUUGAUAGCACUGGGCUUCAGUUUCCUAUUCUGCAAAACUGAGAGAAAAAUCCCUAUCUGACUCACUCACUAGGUGUUUGUCAGAGUAAAAUGAAAUUAUCAGUAUGAACCUGCUUUGGAUAAACAAAAAAUACCAUAUAAAUAGGAGGCAGGCAGUACAUGACCAUGCAGCUUCCAAACCUUACAAAAUGAGCAACUUUCCAGGAACAGUCUGGGUACCAGGAUUAUUAUGGAAGAAAACCACUAGAAAGAAAUUCUUGAAAAGUCCAAAGGUGACAGAGGGAAGAAGAAAGGCUUGGCCUAUCAGCUUAGCUAUCCCUUGGAGCUAAGCUAUAAAACCUAGUA